GCGGGUGUAGUUUAGUGGUAAAA
Molecule: non-coding RNA, 23 nt
Filed under: Gallus gallus (chicken)
Lineage: Eukaryota; Metazoa; Chordata; Aves; Galliformes; Phasianidae
Also listed under: 3 other names
Source: RNAcentral